This 353-nucleotide ribosomal RNA is filed under the name uncultured bacterium. Its description in RNAcentral is "partial 16S ribosomal RNA". It matches the Rfam family "Bacterial small subunit ribosomal RNA", at positions 338 to 683 of the family's 1533-position model. The record is from RNAcentral.
CCUACGGGAGGCAGCAGUGGGGAAUAUUGCGCAAUGGGCGAAAGCCUGACGCAGCGACGCCGCGUGAGGGAUGAAGGUCUUCGGAUCGUAAACCUCUGUCAGCAGGGAAGAACGGGCACUGUGCUAAUCAGCAGUGAAUUGACGGUACCUGCAAAGGAAGCACCGGCUAACUCCGUGCCAGCAGCCGCGGUAAUACGGAGGGGGCGAGCGUAAAUCGGUAUUACUGGGCGGAAAGCGCGCGUAGUCGGUACGUCCAGUCAUGGGUGAAAUCCCCGCGCUCAACGUGGGAACUGCCUUUGAAACUGGCAAACUGGAGUGUGUGAGAGGAUAGUGGAAUUCCCGGUGUAGGAGUG